This 187-nucleotide ribosomal RNA is filed under the name Lachnospiraceae bacterium AM48-27BH. RNAcentral describes it as "partial 23S ribosomal RNA". It matches the Rfam family "Bacterial large subunit ribosomal RNA", at positions 1 to 187 of the family's 2925-position model. Lineage: Bacteria; Bacillati; Bacillota; Clostridia; Lachnospirales; Lachnospiraceae. The record is from RNAcentral.
UUGGUCAAGCUAUAAAGAGCGCAGGUGGAUGCCUUGGCACUAAGAGCCGAUGAAAGACGUGAUAAGCUGCGAUAAGCUUCGGGGAGGAGCAAAUAUCCUUUGAUCCGGAGAUCUCUGAAUGGGGAAACCCGGCUGAGCAAACCUCAGUCGUCGUAUGGUGAAUUCAUAGCCAUACGUCGGGAACCGC